RNAcentral lists this ribosomal RNA (590 nucleotides) under uncultured marine eukaryote. RNAcentral's name for it is "SSU rRNA". It matches the Rfam family "Eukaryotic small subunit ribosomal RNA", at positions 1 to 598 of the family's 1831-position model. The record is from RNAcentral.
UACCUGGUUGAUCCUGCCAGUAGUUCAUAUGCUUGUCUUAAAGAUUAAGCCAUGCAUGUCUAAGUAUAAGCAUUUAUACCGCGAGACUGCGAACGGCUCAUUAAAACAGUUAUGGUUUAUUUGAUGGUUCCUUUGCUACUUGGAUAACCGUAGUAAUUCUAGAGCUAAUACAUGCACGAAGGGGCGACUCACGAAGCCCUGUAUUUAUUAGAUUAAAGCCAACCACCUCCGGGUGUUCGUGGUGAAUCAUAGUAACUUCUCGGAUCGCCGGCCCAGCGCCAGCGACGUGUCAUUCAAAUUUCUGCCCUAUCAGCUUUAGAUGGUAGGAUAUGGGCCUACCAUGGCGGUGACGGGUAACGGAGAAUUAGGGUUCGAUUCCGGAGAGGGAGCCUGAGAAACGGCUACCACUUCUAAGGAAGGCAGCAGGCGCGCAAAUUACCCAAUCCUGACUCAGGGAGGUAGUGACAAGAAAUAACAAUAAACCGGCAUAGCCGGUUUAAUUGGAAUGAGUACAAUUUAAACAUCUUAACGAGGAACAAUUGGAGGGCAAGUCUGGUGCCAGCAGCCGCGGUAAUUCCAGCUCCAAUAGC